Molecule: long non-coding RNA, 743 nt
Organism: Oncorhynchus tshawytscha (Chinook salmon)
Lineage: Eukaryota; Metazoa; Chordata; Actinopteri; Salmoniformes; Salmonidae
Source: Ensembl
GUUUAUUUAUGCAAGUUUGUUCUAAUUUUAGCAUCUAUACAGGUAUAUGUAGUAUCUAUAAAUGUUUUGUUUGCAUUCAUUAUUAAAGGCUUGUACUGUAUGUCCUCUUUUAGUUCCGUUUGUAAAUAGAGGUAGAUGAACACUGCCACCUAAUGGUUGAGUUAGACUACUGUCAAUAAAUACUGUAACCCGUGUAAUCGGUCUUUAUCCAUUAUCAGUACCGUAGGACAUAAAAUAUUAGUAUUGUCCAAGCACAUCUAUGAAACUAUUUUGACAGGUAGGCUAAUAUUUUUUAAAGUAUAUCUGUAUGUAUCCACAUGGUGAUAUUAUAAGUGUAUGUGAUGCUGUGUAUGACAACUUAUUUCAGUUUGAAUGCAGCAUUUGUGAAAAGGAUAUUUAUGUAAUACAUUGUCCUUUAAACCGGUGGUGUCUAACUCAUUUUGCACUUGGGCCGCAUUCGGUCUUCACUGAGGUCCGGAGGGACGCAUUCGGUCUUCACUGAGGUCCGGAGGGCCGCAUUCGGUCUUCACUGAGGUCCGGAGGGACGCAUUCGGUCUUCACUGAGGUCCGGAGGGACGCAUUAAAAAUGUAUUAUUUGCUUGAAGAAAAUAGUCCAGGGACCAUAAAUGCUUGAAUUCCUCGCUGUCUAGCUUUCGUUUCAAUUACUGUUAUCAAGCUGGACAGAGUGAAGAGCCUAUACAUGUACAUCCAUUUUCAUUUCUACAGUUUUGAUUUGGUUUUAG